RNAcentral lists this ribosomal RNA (380 nucleotides) under uncultured cyanobacterium. RNAcentral's name for it is "bacterial SSU rRNA". It matches the Rfam family "Bacterial small subunit ribosomal RNA", at positions 376 to 770 of the family's 1533-position model. Lineage: Bacteria; Bacillati; Cyanobacteriota. The record is from RNAcentral.
CGAAAGCCUGACGGAGCAAGACCGCGUGGGGGAGGAAGGCUCUAGGGUUGUAAACCCCUUUUCUUUGGGAAGAACAAAAUGACGGUACCAAAGGAAUCAGCCUCGGCUAACUCCGUGCCAGCAGCCGCGGUAAGACGGAGGAUGCAAGCGUUAUCCGGAAUUAUUGGGCGUAAAGCGUCCGUAGGCGGUCAUUUAAGUCAGUUGUUAAAGACUGCAGCUCAACUGUGGGAGAGCAACUGAAACUGAGAGACUAGAGUACGGUAGGGGUAGAGGGAAUUCCCAGUGUAGCGGUGAAAUGCGUAGAUAUUGGGAAGAACACCAGUGGCGAAGGCGCUCUACUGGGCCGAGACUGACGCUGAUGGACGAAAGCUAGGGGAGCG